AUCGCUUCUCGGCCUUUUGGCUAAGAUCAAGUGUAGAAUAAUACUUGAUGUCAAAAAAAUUAUUAUUAUAUUUUUAUAAAUAUUUAAAAAAUAUAAUUUACUGUCAAGGUAGCUAACAUACAGUGUAUACAGUGUGCUCUUAGCUUCGGGAGUAGAUUCCCAUGAUUCAUCACUU
This 175-nucleotide small nuclear RNA is filed under the name Suricata suricatta (meerkat). Its description in RNAcentral is "U2 spliceosomal RNA (ENSSSUG00005019360.1)". It matches the Rfam family "U2 spliceosomal RNA". From Rfam's summary of the family: U2 is a small nuclear RNA (snRNA) component of the spliceosome (involved in pre-mRNA splicing). Complementary binding between U2 snRNA (in an area lying towards the 5' end but 3' to hairpin I) and the branchpoint sequence (BPS) of the intron results the bulging out of an unpaired adenosine, on the BPS, which initiates a nucleophilic attack at the intronic 5' splice site, thus starting the first of two transesterification reactions that mediate splicing. Lineage: Eukaryota; Metazoa; Chordata; Mammalia; Carnivora; Herpestidae. The record is from Rfam by way of RNAcentral.